This is a long non-coding RNA of Herpailurus yagouaroundi (jaguarundi), 973 nucleotides long. RefSeq lists it as uncharacterized. Lineage: Eukaryota; Metazoa; Chordata; Mammalia; Carnivora; Felidae. The transcript has 3 exons. The record is from RefSeq and is a predicted model, not a curated record.
UGUCACCCAGGCUUGUGGCUCUCCAAGUGUGGUCUAUAGGUCUCCAGUGAGCCAUGAGGAUCUGUCUGAAGGCCUCAGAAAGAAACACAUCUUCCAAUGCCUGAGAAUUCACCUUUUAGCAGAUGACUUUGGUGUCUGGAAUUGAAAUUCAACCUACAACCUUCAACCUACGCUUCUGGCAAACCAAACUCAUCAGUGCUGUCUACAACCUGCAAACACAGCCAACAAGGUGUAGGCAAUAAUGAGGCAGUGUGGAGGUGCCUGGAAGGUUCUCUCGCACCGUCGCACCAGGAAGGUUGAUUUUCUUGGGUGAAACAUACAAACUCAGGGAUUGGACAUGCAGCAAAGUAAGUCAGUAAGUGGACACUAGUGACCUGGUGACCUUUGUGUGAUCCCCAGGUCUGGUCCCUGGGGAAGGAUCAGGUGCAAAGCUGGGUUCAUUGAAUUACUUUGGCGAUACAAUUACCCCUCAGCUCUUCCGGCUGCUGUGCAAAGUGGCUUUCUAUGCAGUCAGGGUAGAUCGAAAUGAGGCUCAGGACUUCAGGUAAACAAAGUCCUAGAAGGCCUGACUGGGAAGGGACUUUCAAGAUUGGUGAGUCCAAUGCAUUCAUUUCACAUUAUGUGAACACUGACACAAGGUGCUUAUGUAAAGGACUGCCUCUAUGAACACAGGGAGUUAGUUUGUUGUUAUUCCAACUCAAAGAAGGUCCAUGGUAGAGAAUAGAAAUGUGUGUUCACUUCUAGUUAAACAUGGGAGAUUGGAUAUGCCAGUUUAGUUCUAUCUUCUUCUGAAACCCACUACAAUGAGGGUAAAGGGAUAUAAAGUACAAGCCCACAAGGAUGAGGUGGAUGAUAGAGGGGACAGAUACAGGCAUGCAAUGUCAACAGGAUCUUGACAGAUGGGAAGGGGUGCCAUGGAGUGACAAGUGAGGGGGCAGAGCUGAGAAAGCUGGGGCAUAACUGACUAAGGGGG